CACGUAGGGCGCGAGCGUUGUCCGGAAUUAUUGGGCGUAAAGAGCUCGUAGGCGGCCUGUUGCGUCCGCUGUGAAAGCCCGGGGCUUAACCCCGGGUCGGCAGUGGAUACGGGCAGGCUAGAGGUAGGUAGGGGAGAAUGGAAUUCCCGGUGUAGCGGUGAAAUGCGCAGAUAUUGGGAAGAACACCAGUGGCGAAGGCGGUUCUCUGGGACGGUACUGACGCUGAGACGCGAAAGCGUGGGGAGCGAACAGG
RNAcentral lists this ribosomal RNA (253 nucleotides) under uncultured bacterium. Its description in RNAcentral is "partial 16S ribosomal RNA". It matches the Rfam family "Bacterial small subunit ribosomal RNA", at positions 524 to 776 of the family's 1533-position model. The record is from RNAcentral.